UACGGGGGGAGCAAGCGUUGUUCGGAUUUACUGGGCGUAAAGGGCGCGUAGGCGGUUUGUCGCGUCUGCUGUGAAAACUCGAGGCUCAACCUCGGGCUUGCAGUGGGUACGGGCAGACUAGAGUGCGGUAGGGGUGACUGGAAUUCCUGGUGUAGCGGUGGAAUGCGCAGAUAUCAGGAGGAACACCGAUGGCGAAGGCAGGUCACUGGGCCGCAACUGACGCUGAGGAGCGAAAGCAUGGGGAGCGAACAGG
Molecule: ribosomal RNA, 253 nt
Filed under: uncultured bacterium
Lineage: Bacteria
Description: partial 16S ribosomal RNA
Rfam family: Bacterial small subunit ribosomal RNA
Source: RNAcentral